Lolium rigidum is the source of this 2813-nucleotide long non-coding RNA. RefSeq lists it as uncharacterized. The transcript has 4 exons. NCBI's taxonomy places the organism in Eukaryota, Viridiplantae, Streptophyta, Magnoliopsida, Poales, Poaceae. The record is from RefSeq and is a predicted model, not a curated record.
UCUCCCAGUCUCCUCAUCUCCCACGUUACCUCCAUCAAACAAAUGACAACCAGCAACCUCCACGGGCAGGGCUCCAGCCUCCUCCUCUCUUUCUCACCGGUACCAGCGGCCGCACCGCGCCGCUCUAGAGCCUUGCCCUUCCCAAGCCUAUCGUCCUCCUCUCUCUCUGAUCGCCGUGGGAGCCCUGCCUAAAUUCCUUUGUCCAAGGCCCGUUUCUGCAUCGUGCUUGGCUGAGGGAAGAAACAGGAGGCCGAGGGAGGAAGCGGUGUGUGGGCCAGGAGAGCAGGUUCGGGGAACAGCGCAGACGGGGGCGCGCUGGUGACGCUGCGGGGAGGAGCGCCGGGAUGGAGGUGGCCCUCACGUCGGCAGCACCAUCAACAUGUGCCGCCAGAGCUCAAGCCUGACCAGACCGGUCAUUGUGGAUUUGACGGGAUUGGUUACAUUGGUAGUGUUUGUGAUGUUUCUGAUGGGUUAUGUACUUCUGGCCGAUGAUUCUGUGUCCGGUUUGUUUGUGGUUUGUUUGUUGAAGCGAGUUUUUUCUUAUCAUCUUCCUGGUUUGUCUGAUCCUUGCUCAUCCUUUUUCCUAAUUUUGGUGGCCUUCUGAUUCAUUUUCGAUUCUUCUAUCUUCUGUACUUCUUUCAGGUUUCUAUGUGAAUCCUGGUUGGCUUGAGGAUGCAGGGUCAUUGGAAAUUGGAGAGAGGAGUUCCUACCGGCCUCGCCAAUGGCUGAUCCAUGUCUUCUUGCUCUAUACGGCAUCAGCUUAUGCUAAAUGUUGAUUUCACUGGUUUUGUUGGGCUUUCAUGUGGCAUUUGCAAGCAAGAUGGUAAGCCUGCACUUUGUUUCUUGCCAAAAUAUAGCAUAAGGAGCGACUAUGCCCUCUUAAAGAUACUUUCUUGCACAUGUACAUGAUCUGUCAGUAUUGUCUAUAGAAAUAUUUUUCCUGCACCAAGGAUGCAAAUAUUUUCUCAUAUUUCCCUGCUUGUGGCCUCCCUUCCAUCCUCUGUGGCGAGUCGUACGGCGUGCGAGAUCGUCUACCGCAGAUCGAGGUUGGCCUCCAGGCUGUGGUGAUCGGUAGCCGUCGGUGUGGGCCUGGAGUAUGGUGUGCUUCCUGUACAGGAUUAACACUAAAGAAGGUGCCAUACCACACAUAAAGUACGGCCAAUCUGUUUUGCGGCCUUCCUUUGGGCAUUAUGGAAGGCAAGAAAUAACAAUCCAUUCAGUGAAUUAACACAACAAGAUCUAAACUCUUUAAUAAAUAGCAGAUUAGCUAAUGAGUCUCAGUUAUGGGCAGCAAGGUAGACUUCAGCAAUGUAUAGCAUUAAGCUGUGGGCUGAUCAGUUUCGUCCCAACAACUAAAACUCAUAUCCACCCUCCUGUCUGAUUUUCCUUUCUUUGUACGUUUCAUUCUUUUUAUUUUGUCUCCAUGAUGCAAAUGUAACAAUUGUCAGAGGGCUGAAUGAAGCUAUAAGUUAAAGGAUCCUCCACAUUUUUUAUUCAGAAAAAAACAUGCAAAGUAAUGUUGCCAAAAUCUAGGUGAGUAUAUUAGCCUACUCUCAUCCAUAUAUGUCUGAUUCUUUCUUCCCUUAUAAACCAUCAGUGUAAUAAUUACAAUUUGCAUUGACCAAUAUUAUGCCAGAUUGAGUAACCCUUCCCUGGUUUUUAGUUGAGAUAACAUCAUACAUGGAACGGAUAUGUGUUACACUUGGCAGAGUAUUUUUGUUUUACUGCAUGUCAACUUUAGAACAAUUAAAUAAGUGAUCUGAUGAUGAUUACAUAUUCUUUUCAUCAGUUUAGUCUGUAAGAAGGAACUGAGAGGGUUUUUUGCAGGUUGCGUAUUUUUUUUACUUUGCAAAUAGUUUCUGAAUAAGGUGAACUGUCGUCGGUUUCAACUUGAACAGAAAAAAGUUGGUAUUUAUCUACUUUCUAUGCCAUACUCUUACUCAUUACCGGUACAAUAUCCUUUUCUCUUCUUUCAAUCAGCAGUGGUUUCGCAUCUUAAGCAUGAUGUUUACUUUAUGGGCUUAUGACACGUGUGUGAGUUUGUGGAAGAAAACAUGCAUGUUCAGGUUUGGGUGAAGUUGCUAAAAGAUGGUGCAUUCCUGUUAUACUUUCAUUAGGAUUACCCUUUUAUGUCUUUGCAGAAGAUGCUAUCAGUUUUACUCCAGGAAUGGAUCACCAGUGGGGAGCUUGAACUGAUACAAUGGAUACCUGAAUAUGGUUCAGUUGGCUUCGUGGUAACCCAAAUUGUUCAGCUCAAAGUAACUGGCCUACCUUGCAACUUAAAUUAGUGUCAAUAAUUGAAUAUGUGUUAGCUCCAUUUUCUCUGGUGAGAACGCAUUCCACGGUGCCAAAUGACAGUGCGUCAGAUCUUAGCAACACAGCAUAGCUUACAAAUGUACUGCAUGGUCUGUUACUAUUGAAUCUAUAUCAACCAUUGUUCGGGUUAAACUUUUGCCAUCGCAUCUAGCUGAUUUGGCCAAAAUAUCUCCAGAUAGCAUGUGCAAGGUGUCCAUUGCUCGAUGUGUUCAUAUAUGCUGAUGCUAUCCUAGAUGGAGCGUUUUCUGUCUAAAUAUAGAAUCACGUUCAUGUUCCAAGGACUCAACUCGAAGAUCCAACAAUUGAUGGUUAUGGCCUCUCAUUGCUCAGACUAUCUUUGUCAAAUUGAGAGUCUAGAUAGGAGAACCAUGUAGUCAGUACUAUGUUUUCUGCACCUUUCUACCAAAGAUAUUAAAGACUGUCUUCUUCAGUUUUGUUCUAUGUCCUCUUGGAUGUAUAUGUGUGCAGUCAAUAAAUAUAUCAGGAGUUGCUCUUUA